GUGGCCGGAGGAGAGAGUUCCGGCGAAGUGGAGGCAGCCGCGUUUUUGGGUUUUUUCGGCGAGAUCCGGCGGAGGAUGGACGAUCGGAGGAUGUAUCCCGACUCUCCUCAUCUCAAGCUUCGCGAUGGCACCGGUUUCGUGGCGAUCGGGCUUUGUUUGCGAAUCGACGGUCGAGAUCGUCCGUAAAUCUCUCCGGAUGAUCGGGUGUCAGAUCAAAAAAUCAGAAGCGGGGAUCGUCAUCAGCGCGUCGUUGUGAGUCUGAUGGUGUGUUCGGAUCGUCGAUCGGACUCCGGCGGCCGGAGGCGAGUCGAUCGAGCGACCGAGCGUCUCGAUGAUCUGUCUGUUCGGCUCGCUCCAACCGAGGCACCGGAGCAGAGCUAGGAGGUCGCCCAAUCCUAUUCGUGACUGUUAGUUCUCCCGCGACUCUUAUUCAAUAACCCGACUCCUUCAUCAUCGGGUGAUGUAUUUGAUUUGGUAUGUAAAUUGGUAAAUCUUAGAUUCUCCGGAGUAGUAAUAGUAGAUGUAUCAGUUGUAAAUUUUCUGAGUUUCAGGUCUCACCUAGUUUUUCUGGCAGACCAAAGUAUUUAUGUAGAAUGUAGCUAUUAAGAUAAUUUGUGGUUUUAAUAAUAUUAAUUUGAGAUGAGAUUUGUUUAAAUCAGUG
Molecule: long non-coding RNA, 661 nt
Filed under: Ricinus communis (castor bean)
Lineage: Eukaryota; Viridiplantae; Streptophyta; Magnoliopsida; Malpighiales; Euphorbiaceae
Description: long non-coding RNA (RCOM_LNC000850)
Source: RNAcentral